GAUGAAGAACGCAGCGAAAUGCGAUAAGUAAUGUGAAUUGCAGAAUUCAGUGAAUCAUCGAAUCUUUGAACGCACAUUGCGCCCCUUGGUAUUCCGAGGGGCAUGCCUGUUCGAGCGUCAUUAUAACCCCUCAAGCUCAGCUUGGUGUUGGGGCCUGCUGCACUGGCAGCCCUUAAAAUCAGUGGCGGCGCCAUCUGGCUCUAAGCGUAGUAAUUCUUCUCGCUAUGGAGUCCUGGUGGAUGCUUGCCAUCAACCCCCAAAUUUUCUAUGGUUGACCUCGGAUCAGGUAGGGAUACCCGCUGAACUUAAGCAUAUCAAUAAGCGGAGGA
RNAcentral lists this unclassified non-coding RNA (329 nucleotides) under soil metagenome. RNAcentral's name for it is "partial contains 5.8S ribosomal RNA, internal transcribed spacer 2, and large subunit ribosomal RNA". The stretch from base 1 to 120 matches the Rfam family "5.8S ribosomal RNA", at positions 35 to 154 of the family's 154-position model. The record is from RNAcentral.